Molecule: ribosomal RNA, 440 nt
Filed under: uncultured bacterium
Lineage: Bacteria
Description: partial 16S ribosomal RNA
Rfam family: Bacterial small subunit ribosomal RNA
Source: RNAcentral
CCUACGGGUGGCUGCAGUGGGGGAUAUUGCACAAUGGGGGGAACCCUGAUGCAGCGACGCCGCGUGGGUGAAGAAGCGCCUCGGCGCGUAAAGCCCUGUCAGCAGGGAAGAAAAUGACGGUACCUGAAGAAGAAGCCACGGCUAACUACGUGCCAGCAGCCGCGGUAAUACGUAGGGGCCAAGCGUUCGCCGGAUUUACUGGGUGGAAAGGGGGCGCAGACGGCGAUGCAAGCCAGGCGUGAAAGCCCGGGGCCCAACCCCGGGACUGCUCUUGGUACUGCGUGGCUGGAGUGCAGGAGGGGCGGGCGGAAUUCCAGGUGUAGCGGUGAAAUGCGUAGAUAUCAGGAGGAACACCGGUGGCGAAGGCGGCCUGCUGGACUGAGACUGACGUUGAGGCCCGAAAGCGUGGGGAGCAAACAGGAUUAGAUACCCGAGUAGUC